AUUGAACGCUGGCGGCAUGCCUUACACAUGCAAGUCGAACGGCAGCACGGACUUCGGUCUGGUGGCGAGUGGCGAACGGGUGAGUAAUGUAUCGGAACGUACCUUUCAGUGGGGGAUAGCGUAGCGAAAGUUACGCUAAUACCGCAUAUUCUGUGAGCAGGAAAGCAGGGGAUCGCAAGACCUUGCGCUGAUUGAGCGGCCGAUAUCAGAUUAGCUAGUUGGUGGGGUAAAGGCCUACCAAGGCUACGAUCUGUAGCGGGUCUGAGAGGAUGAUCCGCCACACUGGAACUGGGACACGGUCCAGACUCCUACGGGAGGCAGCAGUGGGGAAUUUUGGACAAUGGGGGCAACCCUGAUCCAGCCAUGCCGCGUGAGUGAAGAAGGCCUUCGGGUUGUAAAGCUCUUUCGGCCGGGAAGAAAUCGCAUAGGCUAAUACCCUGUGUGGAUGACGGUACCGGAAUAAGAAGUACCGGCUAACUACGUGCCAGCCGCCGCCGUAA
RNAcentral lists this ribosomal RNA (500 nucleotides) under uncultured bacterium. RNAcentral describes it as "partial 16S ribosomal RNA". It matches the Rfam family "Bacterial small subunit ribosomal RNA", at positions 30 to 523 of the family's 1533-position model. The record is from RNAcentral.